UACGAAGGGGGCUAGCGUUGCUCGGAAUCACUGGGCGUAAAGCGCACGUAGGCGGAUUGUUAAGUCGGGGGUGAAAUCCUGGAGCUCAACUCCAGAACUGCCUUCGAUACUGACGAUCUCGAGUCCGGGAGAGGUGAGUGGAACUCCGAGUGUAGAGGUGAAAUUCGUAGAUAUUCGGAAGAACACCAGUGGCGAUGGCGGCUCACUGGCCCGGUACUGACGCUGAGGUGCGAAAGCGUGGGGAGCAAACAGG
This 253-nucleotide ribosomal RNA is filed under the name uncultured bacterium. RNAcentral describes it as "partial 16S ribosomal RNA". It matches the Rfam family "Bacterial small subunit ribosomal RNA", at positions 524 to 776 of the family's 1533-position model. The record is from RNAcentral.